AUUGAACGCUGGCGGAAUGCUUUACACAUGCAAGUCGAACGGCAGCACGGGGGCAGCCCUGGUGGCGAGUGGCGAACGGGUGAGUAAUACAUCGGAACGUGCCCGGUCGUGGGGGAUAACGUAGCGAAAGUUACGCUAAUACCGCAUACGAUCUGAGGAUGAAAGCGGGGGACCUUCGGGCCUCGCGCGAUCGGAGCGGCCGACGUCAGAUUAGGUAGUUGGUGGGGUAAAGGCCUACCAAGCCGACGAUCUGUAGCUGGUCUGAGAGGACGACCAGCCACACUGGGACUGAGACACGGCCCAGACUCCUACGGGAGGCAGCAGUGGGGAAUUUUGGACAAUGGGCGCAAGCCUGAUCCAGCCAUUCCGCGUGCAGGACGAAGGCCUUCGGGUUGUAAACUGCUUUUGCACGGAACGAAAAGGCUCUGGCUAAUACCUGGGGCUCAUGACGGUACCGUAAGAAUAAGCACCGGCUAACUACGUG
Molecule: ribosomal RNA, 484 nt
Filed under: uncultured bacterium
Lineage: Bacteria
Description: partial 16S ribosomal RNA
Rfam family: Bacterial small subunit ribosomal RNA
Source: RNAcentral